This 442-nucleotide ribosomal RNA is filed under the name uncultured bacterium. Its description in RNAcentral is "partial 16S ribosomal RNA". It matches the Rfam family "Bacterial small subunit ribosomal RNA", at positions 338 to 795 of the family's 1533-position model. The record is from RNAcentral.
CCUACGGGUGGCUGCAGUGGGGAAUAUUGGGCAAUGGGCGCAAGCCUGACCCAGCAACGCCGCGUGAAGGAAGAAGGCUUUCGGGUUGUAAACUUCUUUUGUCAGGGAAGAGUAGAAGACGGUACCUGACGAAUAAGCCACGGCUAACUAAGUGACAGCAGCCGCGGUAAUACGUAGGUGGCAAGCGUUGUCCGGAUUUACUGGGUGUAAAGGGCGUGUAGCCGGGUUGACAAGUCAGAUGUGAACUCAUGCGGCUUAACCGCAGAACUGCAGUUGAAACUGUUGAUCUUGAGUACUGGAGAGGCAGAUGGAAUUACUAGUGUAGCGGUGAAAUGCGUAGAUAUUAGGAGGAACACCAGUGGCGAAGGCGGUCUGCUGGACAGCAACUGACGGUGAGGCGCGAAAGCGUGGGGAGCAAACAGGAUUAGAUACCCGUGUAGUC